AUACUUACCUGGCAGGAGAAACACCACGAUCAUGAAGAUGGUUCACCCAGAGUCACUGGGUCAGCCACUCUGGCUGAGUGGACCCUGUGAAUUACCCAAAUGUGGAGCCUAAUCUGUGGAGUGGUGUAGUGGCAGGUUUUAGAUCUGUAUUCCA
This 154-nucleotide small nuclear RNA is filed under the name Cynoglossus semilaevis (tongue sole). Its description in RNAcentral is "U1 spliceosomal RNA (ENSCSEG00000003547.1)". It matches the Rfam family "U1 spliceosomal RNA". From Rfam's summary of the family: U1 is a small nuclear RNA (snRNA) component of the spliceosome (involved in pre-mRNA splicing). Its 5' end forms complementary base pairs with the 5' splice junction, thus defining the 5' donor site of an intron. Lineage: Eukaryota; Metazoa; Chordata; Actinopteri; Pleuronectiformes; Cynoglossidae. The record is from RNAcentral.